Molecule: long non-coding RNA, 518 nt
Filed under: Homo sapiens (human)
Lineage: Eukaryota; Metazoa; Chordata; Mammalia; Primates; Hominidae
Description: non-protein coding lnc-DOCK4-3:1
Source: RNAcentral
AUGGUAUAUGCUUUAUUUUUAUUAAAUGUUCUCUUGGUUAUAGAGUUCGUAGGCUUUUCUUUGAAACCUUCUCCUAUUUAUGGAGGCCUAGGGCUAAUUAUUAGUGGUGCUGUGGGUUGUGGUAUUGUGUUGAAUUUUGGUGGGGCUUUCGUGGGGUUAAUAGUCUUUUUGAUUUAUUUGGGUGGUAUGAUGGUUGUUUUGGGUUAUACUGCGGCAAUGGCUAUUAAGGAAUACCCUGAAACACGAGGGUCAAGUAUAGACAUUUGAGGAGGUUUAUUAUUAGGAUGAUUAAUAGAGUUGAUGUUGGUUCAGUGAAUAGUUGAGUACAAUGGGCUGGUGAUCACAAUUGAUUUUAAAGUGUAGAGAGUUGGAUAAUUUUUGAGGGUGAGGGGGUGGGGUUGUGUGAGGAUUCUGUGGGUGUGGCUGCCUUCUACAGUUAUGGGUGUUGAUUAGUGGUAGUUGCUAGUUGAUCAUUAUUUGUUAGUAUUUAUGUUGCAAUUGAAAAUACUUGGGGUAAU